GAUGAACGCUAGCGGCAGGCCUAACACAUGCAAGUCGAGGGGUAGAAUUAGCUUGCUAAUUUGAGACCGGCGCACGGGUGCGUAACGCGUAUGCAAUCUACCUUGUACAGGGGGAUAGCCCAGAGAAAUUCGGACUAAUAUCCCAUGGAAAUAUUGAGAGGCAUCUUUUGAUAUUUAAAGUUCCGGCGGUACGGGAUGGGCAUGCGUAACAUUAGCUAGUUGGUAAGGUAACGGCUUACCAAGGCUUUGAUGUUUAGGGGUCCUGAGAGGGUGAUCCCCCACACUGGUACUGAGACACGGACCAGACUCCUACGGGAGGCAGCAGUGAGGAAUAUUGGUCAAUGGGCGCAAGCCUGAACCAGCCAUCCCGCGUGCAGGAAGACGGCGCUAUGCGUUGUAAACUGCUUUUCCAGGGGAGAAACUUGCGUACGUGAUACGCAAUUGACGGUACCCUGGGAAUAAGCAUCGGCUAACUCCGUGCCAGCAGCCGCGGUAAACUGU
Molecule: ribosomal RNA, 501 nt
Filed under: uncultured bacterium
Lineage: Bacteria
Description: bacterial SSU rRNA
Rfam family: Bacterial small subunit ribosomal RNA
Source: RNAcentral